Gasterosteus aculeatus aculeatus (three-spined stickleback) is the source of this 1105-nucleotide long non-coding RNA. NCBI's taxonomy places the organism in Eukaryota, Metazoa, Chordata, Actinopteri, Perciformes, Gasterosteidae. The record is from Ensembl.
GGGGGCUUCGUAAUUGGGAUUUUGGCAUCACUGCAAGAGAAUUUCUAAUGAGGUUUUAAGAAAGAAGUUAUUUUUGGAGAGAAAAGAAAGCUUAAGCACUGUCUGCUUAAGAGAUGAGCAAAAUAUAUUCACGAUAAGAAUGUUUAUUAUUGACUAUUUUCAGUAUUGCUUCGUUGGGAAGGGGCAAAAAAGCGCUUUGUUUACUUCAGACUGCCUUUGAGAAUGUUUUUGCUCGAGAGCAUUGACAAUCAGAAUGUCCUACGGGGAAGAGAGGAAACAUAACUAGAAUUGAUUCCCCCCCAAAUGCUCUGUAGAAGUGCCAUGUUGUCUUGUGUCCCUACCUAAGCAAACUCAUACAGUCUUUAAAAGCAAUAUCUCAUCCAAUAAGGACUACAUAAGGACUUCCGUUAUGUUUUUUGUUGUUGUGAAUAUCUGAGGAUUGGAGGUCAUUUUUCUGUACAGUGGCAUAGUAGGUUGUUCUCAUGUUAGAAGCAUUGGGCCAAUCCACUUACUGGUUUUACCCAUAAGCGUUUAGUUUGAUGUGAAUGUACAUAAAGAGUUAUUUAUCUAGUUGCAUGACAUGUAACCUUUCCUGUUGCCUCUGAUAAUAUGCAUCUGAAAAACAAAACAUCAAAAACAGUUAUAACUCAAUGCCAUAGAAUGUCAGCUAAGACUAUUUGCCUCUAUAACCAUGAUAAUAAAAGCAUUUUAUGUAUACUAGCACUGAACCCUGCUGGCUGGAUUAGUUGUGAGGCUUUUGUCUUGCCGUGUGGGUUUUGGGAUGUUACUGCAGUGAUUUUAAUCAGGUUGAGCUAACAGUGCUAUCUAGUGGUAUUAGAUUGUAUAUAUCACACUGUGUUGUCCUCCAUGAUGACCCACAAUGGAGGACGCAAUCAAAGGAACACGCUUACAAGAUGGGGGAGGGCCGCAGCUCAUUUCGGAGAUCUAUUUUCCUCGUUCUGCCCUUCACAACAGCCAAGUGCAUCCUGGAAUUUCUUUUGUGAUAGAAAUCUCCCAUAUGAAUGUAAACGGGGAAAAGAGGUGUGUAGUUGGGUUUCAGUAUUGACAUUUUUGCAAUCUGACACAUAAAUAUUCACAAGUGAAG